Molecule: long non-coding RNA, 633 nt
Organism: Lutra lutra (Eurasian river otter)
Lineage: Eukaryota; Metazoa; Chordata; Mammalia; Carnivora; Mustelidae
Exons: 4
Source: RefSeq, a predicted model, not a curated record
AACAUUUUUUUGAUGCAUUUCCUUCCAGGUUUUCCUGCUCUGUGGUAUAUAUGUCUCCCCAACCAGUAAACCAGACACGCAGCAGCAUACGCCACUCAGAACGAGGGAGAAUGGACGGGAGUGUCCAUGACUGGUGCACUGACUAGAUCGGAUGGCUAAGGACAGAGCGGACCUCGAGAAGCCGGACCAAGGUCUGCCUGUGCAGCGGCAGCAUUCAUAAGAACCAAAAGCUGGAAGCAAUCCGGUGUCCGUCCGGGGAGCGGCACAUACAUCCGUGUGUCCCUCAGAACACGAGUCAGCCAGAACAAGGAAUAGAGAUCCGACCCACACCACAACACGGGUGAACCUCGCAGACACAGGGCCAAGUCACACAAGUGGUCACAGAAGGACAGAUGCCUUGUGCACCCCCGGCUCACGUUCCCUUCUCGCCCCUCCCCCCGUUUCCUGGGGUCACCACCCAAGACACGGUCCGAUUGGAGUGGGGCUCACCUCAGCAACCUUUUUAAAUCUUAAUCACCUCCUGAAAUACCUUGUCUCUGCGCACAAUCACACCGAGAGGUGCUGGGGUUCCGACCUCCAUACACGAAUCCCGGGGGACCCAAUUCAGCGCAUCCCAGGGACUGAGCCAGUGAA